Molecule: ribosomal RNA, 190 nt
Filed under: Chloroflexi bacterium 13_1_40CM_65_17
Lineage: Bacteria; Bacillati; Chloroflexota
Description: partial 23S ribosomal RNA
Rfam family: Bacterial large subunit ribosomal RNA
Source: RNAcentral
AUGGCCGGUUCGGAUAAGCGCUGAAAGCAUCUAAGUGCGAAGCCGACUCCAAGAUUAGGUCUCCCACCGGGUUAACCGGGUAAGGGCCCUGGUAGACAACCAGGUUGAUAGGCCGCAGGUGUAAGAGGAGCAAUCCUUUGAGCUGAGCGGUACUAAGAGCCCGAGGGCUUGUUCACCUAUAACUCACUCU